GUACCCGCUGAACUUAAGCAUAUCAAUAAGCGGAGGAAAAGAAACCAACAGGGAUUGCCUUAGUAACUGCGAGUGAAGCGGCAAAAGCUCAAAUUUGAAAUCUGGCGCCUUUGGCGUCCGAGUUGUAAUUUGGAGGGGCAUCUUCGGAGGUGGCGCCGUCCCAAGUUCCUUGGAACAGGACGUCAUAGAGGGUGAGAAUCCCGUGCCUGGGUGGCUGCCCAUCUCCAUGUGAAGUGUCUCCGACGAGUCGAGUUGUUUGGGAAUGCAGCUCAAAAUGGGAGGUAAAUUUCUUCUAAAGCUAAAUAUUGGCGAGAGACCGAUAGCGCACAAGUAGAGUGAUCGAAAGAUGAAAAGCACUUUGAAAAGAGAGUUAAAAAGUACGUGAAAUUGUUGAAAGGGAAGCGCUUGAGAUCAGACUCGACCGCUGGUGAUCAGCCGUGCUUCUGUGCGGUGCACUUGCCAGUGGUCGGGCCAGCAUCGGUUCUGACGGCGGGACAAAAGGUCGGGGAAUGUGGCUCCCUCCGGGGAGUGUUAUAGCCCCGGUCACAAUGCCGCCUGUUGGGACCGAGGACCGCGCUUCGGCUAGGAUGCUGGCGUAAUGGUCUUAAGCGACCCGUCUUGAAACACGGACC
This 632-nucleotide ribosomal RNA is filed under the name Sowerbyella parvispora. Its description in RNAcentral is "partial large subunit ribosomal RNA". It matches the Rfam family "Eukaryotic large subunit ribosomal RNA", at positions 22 to 667 of the family's 3401-position model. Lineage: Eukaryota; Fungi; Ascomycota; Pezizomycetes; Pezizales; Pyronemataceae. The record is from RNAcentral.